This 1513-nucleotide unclassified non-coding RNA is filed under the name Hevea brasiliensis (rubber tree). The record is from RNAcentral. Lineage: Eukaryota; Viridiplantae; Streptophyta; Magnoliopsida; Malpighiales; Euphorbiaceae.
GUCCUGGAGCCUAGGCACAAGGCGCAAGGCGCAGGCGCAUGCCCGAGCGAGGAAAGGUGCAAAAAUUAAAAAGAAAAUUAUUAAAAAAUAAAAAAAUUAUAAAUAUUCUAUCACACUUCAAGUAACAUAAAACUACACAACGCAACAUACAAAUCAAUUUAUAAUACCAUAAUCCAAUUAUAAUAAUAGAAAUUAAUAAUUUAUGAUAACAUAAACUUUUGCUAUAUUUCUAAUAAUUUAUACUAAGACCUAAUAGCAAUUAGCAAUAAGAAAAUAAAGUCAUAAAACAUUUUUAAUCCAAUAAUAAAACUAAAAGCUAAUAAGAGUAAUAGGCAUAAUAGCAUCUCCAAGUCUCAACAUAUAUUCACAUAUUCAUAAUAAAUAAAAUACCAAAAUCAUAAAUUUAGAUUUUUUUUAAAAAAGCAGAGGUUAAGGAGAGAGCAUAGCAAAGAAAGGGAGAAAAAAUGAUAGCUGCUGGCCUUGGAUAAAACACAGCUAGAGAGAGAGAGAGAGAGGGAGGGGGCGCAUAAGAGAGCAUGACAGCUCAAAAAAAAAAGAAACUGCAGCGCUAUGGACGAAAUAGAGAAAGAGAAUGGAGGAGAGAGAGUGAAGAAGAAAAAGAAAGAAGAAGAAAAGAAGAAAAAAGAGGCUGAUACAGCAGCGAAGAAAAGGCAAAGGGAAGAAAAAGAAGAAAGGAAGGAGAGAGAAAGAAAAAGAAAGCGUGUUGAGGAAGCAAAGAGACACCAGCUAGUGCACGAGAAAAAGUUGCAUGUUGAUAAAGAACAAAAAGAAGUAAAUUUCCAAGCUCCAGAUGGAAGAGCAAACGGGAGGAAGGAAUCUAAGUACAGAUUAGGAAAGCAUGAGAAGUUUGAAAAAGCAGAGGAAGGCCACAAUCUUCAGACAAUGCCUGACACUGAACCUACAACUACCAAGGUUUCAACAAUUGACACCAUAAAUGCAAGCAUCAUUCCUGAAGAUUCCGAGGCUUUGAGUAAUUGUGGAGAUAACUCAAAGGUAUAAGCUCAUUAGCAUCAUUUUUGUUUUGUAUCAAUCAUACUGUCCGUUAAUUUUGUUUUGGCUAAAAUUAUUUCAAAGUUAUAAAUAAAUCCUUGUGCAACUUGGGCGACAAACAAAUCCGUUUGCUCCCUUGGUAUCUGGAAAGAGAAGUGCUUGGUGUUCUUUUGAUUUCAAGACCCUAUGUCGUCCACUUCUAUUUAAUGUUGUCAUAGACAAGGAGUCUUUAAGUGGUGAGUCCUCUGAACUUGCACUUGCAAAAACUACUUCUCUUGACUUUUUUUCACUCUAAGGGGAAGAAAGUUCGUAGUUUUAGAAUGGAACAUUUGCAUAACCACAGUUUGCAUGGAAUUUUUGGCCAUAAUUGGAAGAGGUCUCUUUCUUAUUCACCAUCUAAUAGUUUGUUAUCUUAUGAAUUCCAUAUGUUCUCUUUAUAUCUUUGCAUGUAUAUGCUAAUUCCCAGGCUGCCUUAAAUAUUUAGGUAAUAGGCUACUUUUGC